CCUACGGGAGGCAGCAGUGAGGAAUAUUGGUCAAUGGACGAGAGUCUGAACCAGCCAAGUAGCGUGAAGGACGACUGCCCUAUGGGUUGUAAACUUCUUUUAUAUGGGAAUAAAACGUUCCACGUGUGGGAUUUUGUAUGUACCAUAUGAAUAAGGAUCGGCUAACUCCGUGCCAGCAGCCGCGGUAAUACGGAGGAUCCGAGCGUUAUCCGGAUUUAUUGGGUUUAAAGGGCGCGUAGGUGGAUUGUUAAGUCAGUUGUGAAAGUUUGCGGCUCAACCGUAAAAUUGCAGUUGAAACUGGCAGUCUUGAGUACAGUAGAGGUGGGCGGAAUGCGUGGUGUAGCGGUGAAAUGCUUAGAUAUCACGAAGAACUCCGAUUGCGAAGGCAGUUCACUGGACUGCAACUGACACUGAGGCUCGAAAGUGUGGGUAUCAAACAGGAUUAGAUACCCCGGUAGUC
RNAcentral lists this ribosomal RNA (460 nucleotides) under uncultured bacterium. RNAcentral's name for it is "partial 16S ribosomal RNA". It matches the Rfam family "Bacterial small subunit ribosomal RNA", at positions 338 to 795 of the family's 1533-position model. The record is from RNAcentral.